GGAUGUGAGGGUGACCUGGCCGCGACAUCUGUCACCCCACUGAUUGCCAGGGUUGAUUCGGCUCAUCUGGCUGGCUCAGCGGGUGUCCCCUUCCUCCGUCACCGAUCCAGAUGCUGCCUCCGGAAGCCACACGCUCCAAGAGGACGACCUUCCCUCAAGAGGAGAGGAUUUGUCUUCAGCCAAGGUGUUCAAGUAGCUGCCCUCCCCUGCUGGACCCUCCAAACAAGGCCUCAGGAAGUCAUUCACCUGGAGUUGCUCUAACGGUGGACAGAGUAUCAAAACAGCUGACAAUGACGCUCCAGCAUUCUUU
Molecule: small nuclear RNA, 310 nt
Filed under: Myotis davidii
Lineage: Eukaryota; Metazoa; Chordata; Mammalia; Chiroptera; Vespertilionidae
Description: 7SK RNA
Rfam family: 7SK RNA
About the family: 7SK was discovered as an abundant small nuclear RNA in the mid-70s but a possible function has only recently been suggested. Two independent studies have found that 7SK RNA binds the CDK9/cyclin T complex (known as elongation factor P-TEFb).
Source: Rfam by way of RNAcentral